AUUGACCGCUGGCGGCAGGCCUAACACAUGCAAUUCGAACGAGUGGCGGACGGGUGAUUAAUGUCUGGGAAACUUCCUGAUGGAGGGGGAUAACUACUGGAAACGGUAGCUAAUAUCGCAUACCAUCAGAUGUGCCCAGAUUGGAUUUGCUUGUUGGUGGGGUAACGGCUCACCAAGGCGCCUAUCACUAGCUGGUCUGCGAGGAUGACCAGCCACCAUGGAACUGGUAAACGUUCCAUACGCCAACGGACGGCAGCAGUGGGGAAUGUGGCACAAUGGGCUCAGGCCUUAUGCGACCAUGCCGGUUGUAUGACGAAGGCCUUCGGGUUGUAAAGUACUUUCAGCUGGGAGGCUUUACCCGCAGGAAAGGCACCGGCUAACUCCGUGCCAGCAGCCGCGGUAAUUC
This 406-nucleotide ribosomal RNA is filed under the name uncultured bacterium. RNAcentral's name for it is "partial 16S ribosomal RNA". It matches the Rfam family "Bacterial small subunit ribosomal RNA", at positions 30 to 526 of the family's 1533-position model. The record is from RNAcentral.